UUUUGGUGUGGUGACGGUAGGAGCAGAAGAAGCACCGGCUAACUACGUGCCAGCAGCCGCGGUAAUACGUAGGGUGCAAGCGUUGUCCGGAAUUAUUGGGCGUAAAGAGCUCGUAGGCGGUGUGUCGCGUCUGCUGUGAAAACUCAGGGCUCAACUUUGAGCUUGCAGUGGGUACGGGCACACUAGAGUGCUGUAGGGGAGACUGGAAUUCCUGGUGUAGCGGUGAAAUGCGCAGAUAUCAGGAGGAACACCGGUGGCGAAGGCGGGUCUCUGGGCAGUUACUGACGCUGAGGAGCGAAAGCAUGGGGAGCAAACAGGAUUAGAUACCCUGGUAGU
This 336-nucleotide ribosomal RNA is filed under the name Kineococcus sp. RNAcentral's name for it is "bacterial SSU rRNA". It matches the Rfam family "Bacterial small subunit ribosomal RNA", at positions 459 to 794 of the family's 1533-position model. Lineage: Bacteria; Bacillati; Actinomycetota; Actinomycetes; Kineosporiales; Kineosporiaceae. The record is from RNAcentral.